AAUAAGAUUGGUAGACUGUUAAG
RNAcentral lists this non-coding RNA (23 nucleotides) under Cricetulus griseus (Chinese hamster). Lineage: Eukaryota; Metazoa; Chordata; Mammalia; Rodentia; Cricetidae. The record is from RNAcentral.